This 300-nucleotide ribosomal RNA is filed under the name uncultured Sulfuricurvum sp. RNAcentral's name for it is "bacterial SSU rRNA". It matches the Rfam family "Bacterial small subunit ribosomal RNA", at positions 496 to 795 of the family's 1533-position model. The record is from RNAcentral. Lineage: Bacteria; Pseudomonadati; Campylobacterota; Epsilonproteobacteria; Campylobacterales; Sulfurimonadaceae.
GCGAAGUCUGGGCCAGGUGGCGGGAUAGUAGGGGGGGGGGAAGCGUGAUUCGGGUGAACGGGGUUUGAAGGGUGUGUAGGCGGGAAGGUAAGUCCGAGGUGAAAUCUCGUAGCUCAACUCAGAAACUGCCUUGGAGACGAUUGGUCUUGAAUAUCGUUGAGGGUGGCGGAAUAUGUCAUGUAGCGGUGAAAUGCUUAGAUAUGACAUAGAACACCGAUUGCGAAGGCAGCUAGCUAAACGAUCAUUGAUGCUGAGGCACGAAAGCGUGGGGAUCAAACAGGAUUAGAUACCCCAGUAGUC